ACUGAAUUUGUGAGAAAAAAUUAGAAAAUAGUUAAAAAUAAAAAAAUUGGAAAAUAGUCAGAAGUUUUUAAAAAUAUGAAAAUUGGAAAAUAGUUAAUAAAAAUCGGUGAGGUAACACUCAACCAAGCAAUACUAAAAAAAAUUAUAUGCAUUAGCGUAACAAAAAACAGACAGACGGACAUAAAAUAUUACUUUAAACGUUAAUGUGUGUGUGUAUAUAUUCGCGAGGUUGAAGAAAGGAAAUAAAAAUAUUUGGUAUCAUUAAAUGACAGUGUGAAUAAAAAUAUUUGUGAGGUUGUGAUGAUUAAACAAUAUUGAAAUUAAAUAUAUAAGUGAUAAAAAAAUAAUAAAAAUCUUUUGAAAAAAAGAUAAUAAAAUUAAAUGGAACUGUUCAAAAAAAUAAAAUAAAAUAAAGUUAAAUGAAAAGAAAAUAUAUUGAAUAAAAUAUUAAAAAAUAAAAGAAAAGGUUCCCAGCGUGAGUUGAAAAGAGGUGCUUGUGAAAUAUAUUGUCGAGAAGUAGUUUUUUAGCAUUCAACAACUUUUGGCCAAAGCUCAUUCCAUUCAAUUAUAUGCAUUAAAAAAUGUUCCCUUUCUAGUAAGUACUUAAUUGAUAUUGUGUUUGAUCUAACUUCUUUUUAAAAAUGUAGAGAAGUAAAAAAAAAACCCGAGUCAAACGGUAUCUUAAUCUCCCACAAUGGCAAUGUAGAAGCAACUGAAUUUGGGAGAAAAAAUUGGAAAAUAGUUAAAAGUAUUUAAAAAUAUAAAAAUUGAAAAAUAGUUAAAAAAAAUCGGUGAGGUAGCACUCAACCAAGCAACACUAAAAAAAAUUAUAUGCAUCAGCGUAACAAAAACACAAACAGACAGACAUAAAAUAUUACUCUAAACGUUAAUGUGUGUGUGUAAAUAUUUGCGAGGUUGAAGAAAGGAAAUAAUAGUAUUUGGUAUCAUUAAAAGACAGUGUGAA
Molecule: long non-coding RNA, 964 nt
Filed under: Medicago truncatula (barrel medic)
Lineage: Eukaryota; Viridiplantae; Streptophyta; Magnoliopsida; Fabales; Fabaceae
Description: long non-coding RNA (MTRU_LNC007450)
Source: RNAcentral